This 253-nucleotide ribosomal RNA is filed under the name uncultured bacterium. Its description in RNAcentral is "partial 16S ribosomal RNA". It matches the Rfam family "Bacterial small subunit ribosomal RNA", at positions 524 to 776 of the family's 1533-position model. The record is from RNAcentral.
UACGAAGGGGGCUAGCGUUGUUCGGAAUCACUGGGCGUAAAGCGCACGCAGGCGGAUUGAUAAGUCGGGGGUGAAAUCCCGGGGCUUAACCUCGGAAUUGCCUUCGAUACUGUCGGUCUCGAGUCCGGGAGAGGUGAGUGGAAUUCCUAGUGUAGAGGUGAAAUUCGUAGAUAUUAGGAAGAACACCAGUGGCGAAGGCGGCUCACUGGCCCGGUACUGACGCUCAGGUGCGAAAGCGUGGGGAGCAAACAGG